GUGCCAGCAGCCGCGGUAAUACGGAGGGUGCAAGCGUUAUCCGGAUUCACUGGGUUUAAAGGGUGCGUAGGUGGAGUGGUAAGUCAGUGGUGAAAUCUCCAAGCUUAACUUGGAAACUGCCGUUGAUACUAUCAUUCUUGAAUAUCGUGGAGGUAAGCGGAAUAUGUCAUGUAGCGGUGAAAUGCUUAGAUAUGACAUAGAACACCGAUUGCGAAGGCAGCUUGCUACACGAUCAUUGACACUGAGGCACGAAAGCGUGGGGAUCAAACAGGAUUAGAUACCCUGGUAGUCC
Molecule: ribosomal RNA, 292 nt
Filed under: uncultured bacterium
Lineage: Bacteria
Description: partial 16S ribosomal RNA
Rfam family: Bacterial small subunit ribosomal RNA
Source: RNAcentral